RNAcentral lists this ribosomal RNA (497 nucleotides) under uncultured bacterium. Its description in RNAcentral is "partial 16S ribosomal RNA". It matches the Rfam family "Bacterial small subunit ribosomal RNA", at positions 28 to 507 of the family's 1533-position model. The record is from RNAcentral.
GAUGAACGCUGGCGGCGUGCCUAAUACAUGCAAAUCGAGCGAACAGACGAGGAGCUUGCUCCUCUGACGUUAGCGGCGGACGGGUGAGUAACACGUGGAUAACCUACCUAUAAGACUGGGAUAAAUUCGGGAAACCGGAGCUAAUACCGGAUAAUAUAUUGAACCGCAUGGUUCAAUAGUGAAAGACGGUUGUGAUGUCACUUAUAGAUGGAUCCGCGCCGCAUCAGCUAGUUGGUAAGGUAAGGGCUUAACAAGGCAACGAUGGGUAGCAGACCUGAGAGGGUGGACGGCUAGCUUGGAACUGAGACACGGUCGAGACACCUACAGUAGGACGCAGCAGGGACUCUUCCGCGAUGGGCGAAAGCUUGACGGAGCAACGCCGCGUGAGUGAUGAAGGUCUUCGGAUCGGAAAACUCUGUUAGUAGUGAAGAACAAAUGUUUAAUUAACUAGGCCCGUCUUGACGGUACCUGAUCAGAAAGCCACGGCUAACUACGUG